RNAcentral lists this ribosomal RNA (143 nucleotides) under Monilinia aucupariae. The record is from RNAcentral. Lineage: Eukaryota; Fungi; Ascomycota; Leotiomycetes; Helotiales; Sclerotiniaceae. RNAcentral also lists the same sequence under 1 other name.
UCAACCCUCAAGCACAGCUUGGUAUUGAGCCCAUGUCAGCGAUGGCAGGCUCCAAAGUCAGUGGCGGCGCCGCUGGGUCCUGAACGUAGUAAUAUCUCUCGUUACAGGCGCUCGGCGUGCUUCUGCCAAAACCCCAACUUUCU